CACUCACACACGAAGGACAGGGCAUAUGCACACACACUCACACGCACACACGAAGGACAGGGCAUAUGCCCACACAAACACACACACACACGAAGGACAGUGUGUUGCUACACUGUAAAACCAAACAGUUCUACUAACUUAUUAACAUUAUCUAGGGUUAGGGUUAUUAACAUUAUCUAUUCAGUACUUAAAACCUGGUAUUGAGUUGACCCAACUUUAAAUGUAUUAGUUUUCUGAGCAAGUUUACUUGAGUAAACAUUACCUGAUAACUAAUAUUAUUUUUAGUAUCAUUCAAACGUGACGUCUGACGUCAUCAACGUCGUUGCAGGACUAGUUCAGAACAGAAUCAGAGACACGAUUGCGGAGAUCUUGUGAUGAGAGACGGAGACAGCAGACUUAAUAAAUGUUUAGCAUCAGUUAGACUUCUAUAAGCACGUUCCUCCUGUAGAAGAGGAGUCGACCGAAGGAGAUAUUUUAGUAAUCCUGUCGCUGCUAAGCGUCCUUAUCUGAGGAGAGAACCAGGCUACCCUUGAACAGACGAGACUGCAGAUCUUAGAAGAAGUUGAAAAGACAGAGAAAAAUCAGUUACUGAUUGAAAAACUCAUGCGAGACGACCUUUGCUCUACGCCGUAAAGACAUUGUUGAGAGUGAACCGCCAGUUAACGACUUCCUGAAUAGCUGGCCAGCCUUGAGAAUGGAAUCACAGGGUUAUUCAGUUCCACCGCAUUACAAAUGUGAACCUGCGCAACACAUUCUACUCAGAGCUUGACCGAUACACACCACGACUGAUCAUUCUACUCGGAGCUUGACAGAUACACACCACGACUGAUCACCUUGUACAGGCAGAAGGCAUCACGGACUGGCAAGACAGCAGAGGUGCUACGGGUGAUCCUCGAGGCUUAUGACCUUCAGGAAUAUCAUGAUGUCAAUUUGAGACGCACUUUGUCCCUUUGUGCACUUCCUGUCUACCUGCGUGAGGAUGUUUCGGUGUUCAAGACCUGCAAUGAGGAAGAGGAGCCAGAUUUCGAUGAUGCUCCUGUUGCUCUCCUUACAUCGGGUCCCGACCCCUUCAGCUGCGGGGAACGUCUUUGUCGUUGUUGAAGGCAAUGUUGUUUUGAAUGGGGUGCAGAGGUUUUCUGAGGCAUUUAUGUUUAUGUUGUUUGGCCUGACAUAUGCUUUCAAUUUAGAAUAUCCCCAAAAAAACUCACGCACACAUUCUCAUGCAUACAGAAAAUUUGUAUGUGUCUGGAUGACAACAAACCUCUGAAACUGUCUUUCUUCAGCGUUGCAAUAAUGUUAACUUCUGCUAGCGAUGCAAAUCCUAUGAAGACGGCUGGAAGGGCAUUCAAGUGGAAGUGUAGUGCUACUGUUGAGGUCGUGUAGGUCGCUGAGAGGGAUGUUAAAACUUACUCUUCAAAACCAAACUCUCACAAAGUUAACGUCAUCCCUUUCAGCGACCUACACGACCUAAACAGCAGCAGCACUACACACACACUUGAAUGCUUUACACACACACUUGAAUGCUCUACACAAACCUUAUAAUCCUUAAUAAACAAUAAACAAUAAACAACAUCAACAGCAGCACUACACACACACUUGAAUGCUCUUCCUGCCGUCUUCAUACGCGUCGAUAGAUAGAUAGAUGCGUUGCCUAUAUGCGUCGGUAUGCACCUUCAAAAGAGAUUUGUUGAACUAAACGAUUUGUUGUUGAUUUGUUAACUUUGUUACGCUGUUCUUUAAAGCUUUGAUGCAAUCUUUUGUUUUGUAAGUAGUUUUACAAGAAAAAUAAAUAAUGUGAUACAUCUUAAGUUUUUCUCAUCUCACUCUUUUUAAUAGAAAUCUUACAUAGAUUUGAAUGUUUCUUGUAGAGUAACUUUCAGUUUAAAGUCAGUUUGUAAAC
Long non-coding RNA from Clupea harengus (Atlantic herring), 1900 nucleotides. NCBI's taxonomy places the organism in Eukaryota, Metazoa, Chordata, Actinopteri, Clupeiformes, Clupeidae. The record is from Ensembl.